GGUCGUAUGGCGAAGUGGUAACGCGUUGCCCUCCGGAGGCAAAGGUCUUGGGUUCAAUCCCCAAUACGAUCG
Non-coding RNA from Obelidium mucronatum, 72 nucleotides. NCBI's taxonomy places the organism in Eukaryota, Fungi, Chytridiomycota, Chytridiomycetes, Chytridiales, Chytriomycetaceae. The record is from the annotation of a GenBank genome assembly.